GACGAACGCUGGCGGCGUGCCUAACACAUGCAAGUCAAGCUGUAGCAAUACAACUGGCGCACGGGUGAGUAACGCGUAGAUUAUCUGCCCCUAUCCCUGGCAUAACAUUGAGAAAUCGGUGAUAAUACCAGAUGAGGCACGAAAGUGUCAAAGCUUCGGCGGAUGGGGAUGAGUCUGCGUCUGAUUAGCUAGUUGGUGGAGUAAAAGCCCACCAAGGCGACGAUCAGUAGCUGGUCUGAGAGGACGAUCAGCCACACUGGAACUGAGACACGGUCCAGACUCCUACGGGAGGCAGCAGUGAGGAAUAUUGGUCAAUGGGGGAAACCCUGAACCAGCGACGCCGCGUGAAGGAUGAAGGGGCUUUGCCUCGUAAACUUCUGUCGGGAGGGAAGAAAAGCCGGGUUGCCCGGCUGGGACUGUACCUCUAAAGGAAGGGUCGGCUAACUACGUGCCAGCAGCCGCGGUAAUACGUAGGACCCAAGCGUUGUCCGGAUUUACUGGGUGUAAAGGGUGCGCAGGCGGAUUUGUGCGUCAGAGGUUAAAGACCCCGGCUUAACCGGGGAAGUGCCUUUGAUACGGC
This 580-nucleotide ribosomal RNA is filed under the name uncultured bacterium. RNAcentral's name for it is "bacterial SSU rRNA". It matches the Rfam family "Bacterial small subunit ribosomal RNA", at positions 28 to 636 of the family's 1533-position model. The record is from RNAcentral.